UUGGUUUAGGUUGAUACAAAGUAUAAUUUGAAACAUACUCGCUUCUCGAAGGAACUAUCCUGCGAGUCAGCUAUCUUGUCUGCGAUACCAUAGUCAAUGGCUGCUUGUGCUUGGAGAUAUUUAGGUCGCUUGAUGUCCUCGUUGAUCUGCUCUUUGGUUUUACCUGUUCCCUUAGCUAACAGCUCAAUGUAAUACUCAGUAUUUGCAUCGAGCUCCUUGGCCUGUCAGAGGAGGAAUAUUCAUUAACAGUACAAGUGAAGAAAAUUUCAAGGGAUUACAUAAGAGAGUACAAGAGUGAGAGGGCCACCUUAAUCCACAUGUCAAUGGCAGCUCCACUUGAUCUGUUUACUUUUGGCAGAUACAAUUUUGCUGCACCAUAAAACAUCAGAACUUAGAAGCUUCCACAAGAGGUACUAAUAAGCAUGUCAUGAUCUAAUGCAAGUUUAAGGCUUCGAAUGGUAACAUGCGGAACAACAACUAAAGUGCGGUUUCUAAAAGUAACAAAAACGUAAAUGUAAAGACUUUUUUAAUACUAACUGCGGUGCGGUUUUGUCCGUUAGCAUUUGAAGUCUAAAAGUAGAUAUAUUUUGAGAGGAGAGAACCAUACUUGAUGAAUGUGGCUGAACUGCACGAUAACCCUUUUUACCGAGAGAAAGAAGCAUUGCUGCUUGACCAAAAGCCAUGCCACAGUUGAUAGUGUAUACAUCUGAUUUGCAAUACUUUUAACCCACACAAAAAAAGAAUAGAAAAGUGAAUUGAUUACUGUAUCAUCACAAUGAAUAUAAAUGCACAGAUUCUUUUAGUAAGAUAGACUUACAGAAAUGGUGUCAGCUAUGGCAUAAGCCUCUGUUUCUGACCCAACAGUCUCCAUCUUCUCAUUCUACAUGGCAUUUAGCAAAAUAAAAUAAGCAGAUUGUCCAGAUAAUUCCAUCAAAAGACUUAAUUGAACUGACCUGAGUCCCGGGUGAGUUUAUGUAUAGGUAGAUGGGCUUUGCUGGGUUGUCAUAGUCUAACCACAUAAACUGAGCAACGAGUAACUCAGUAACUGCAGGUACGAUCUGCGAGUGAAUCGAAGCAAGAUCAAUGCCUGAGCAGAGAGGAAACAUAGUAACAGUAAGUUAAUAUCGACACAUGGAGAAGUCUUACUGGCAUGCCAAGGUAGCAUAUGCGAGCAUCCAAAAGCAAAGAAGGCAAAUCCGGAGGAGCAGUUCUUGGUCUUGCAGAUCCUCCGCCGCCGCCUCCACCUCUGUACAUUUGGACACUCAUGCUGUAUCUCCUAGGAUCUGCUGCAUUCAUACCAGACAUACUCCACGUUCCUCCGUUGUCCAAAUAAUUUCUUCUGGACGAGAUGCUUUCCUAUUAACAACAAAGAAGCAUGCCAAAAAAAAGACAAAGACUCAUAUAUUAGAGAAGAAACUUUGUAACUGUAAAAUGGAAUAUGAUAAGAUGGAUUAAAAGAGAAUAUUAACCUCUGUAACUUUCUCCGCUUGCCUGCGGACAGGGCUGUCCUCUGUCAUGAACAUAUCCAUUUGAGCUGGAUUAAGACCGUAGAAAUACUGUGGUACAUUCUUGAAGUUCUGCGUCACUUAAAAAAAAAAGGCAAGGAACAUAGAAUGUCAGAUCAAGUUGAAAGCAAAUAUUGACGAAUUGAAAUCUCAACAAAGAGUUGCAGCAAUCAAACUAAUAUUUUAAGAUUCCAUAUUACACAGACAACAUAACAUAUAAAGGGCAAAAGGCUUUCACUACUUGUUGAAACUGGUGGAGCCAAAGACAUAAUCUUUAGCACUAAGGUAGUUCGUGUAAGCUAAAGAAUCAGAGGAAAAUAGAGAACUUUGUGACCCAAUUCAUCACCAAAGAAAGACAACCUAAACGGAUAAGGUUGAGACCUAAUAACAAAUCUAUACGAAGGAAAAAAAAAAGUAAAAGCACAAAGCUGAGGGAGAAGUAGAAAACCUCCAUCUUUGAGAUUGUCUCCACGAAAUUGUUUGGGGAUGUGGUCAAAGCUCAUAUCUUUAGCAGAAGCGAAGCAGUUCGGUCUUCUUGUGCGUCGAGGAACGCUAGAGCAAGGCAUGUUCGAGGAGAAGAGCUUAGAUCCCGACAUGAAGGGUGAUUUGGGAAGCACGAACUUGGAACAGACAGAUUCAUGGUUGAGCUGUGGAGCAAGAGGAGAGACCAUCAUCGAAGUCGCCAUAUUUGAUCCGAUGAAGAAGAAGAUGAUUGGAAGUUUGGAACGAAGGAUGUGUUUAGUUUGGGGAUGUUUGAGGUGAAACUAGGGAUUGCUUGUCGUUUUUGCUGUCGUCAGAUGAAGAUGAUGCAAGUAAGCACAGUCAAAUCUCUACCAAACCAGAAUCGGUUUGGUCUUGGUACCGGUACAGAUCAAUCAGUGUCUUUAACCGGCUCCGUCUCGAUAAAUUUCUGCCCGGUUUCAUAUCUAUUUUUAUUAAUCAGGGGUUUUGCUUAAGAAAUUACUUUUCUUAUAUGAUAUUAAUAACUUUGACCAAAAAAAAAAUGAUAUUAAUAACAAUUAAGAUUUGAUUCCUUAAAUAUCUAGACGAUCUGGUUACCUAAUUAACAACCUAGUUUCUUUUAUUAUACAUAGUAUAUUAAAUAAUAUAUUAUUAGAUAAAUUAUUUAAUUAAACAAAAAUUAUUUUUUUGUUUGCUUUAUUAUUAGUUGGAAUUUAUUUUUCUCAAAUGUCUUUUCUAUAUCUCUAGGUGGAUAUUUGCUUUUUCUAACAAUUUAACUUUAUUAAUAACUAGAUACGGAUCCGCGCUGUGCACGGAUAUUGUUAUAUCUACUUUUUACAGAAAAAAUAGUGGUAAUAUAUAUUUAUAUAAUAUUUUUAUGUUAUUUAUUUGUAAAUAAUACAUUUUUAAAGAUAUAUUGAAUUGUGGUGUUGUUACAAAAUAUUUUGUACAUGGUGUUUUUUUUGUGUGCAUAAAUUUUAAAUGUUGUACAUGGUGUUUUUUUCUUAUAAUGUUAGAAUUUUCGUUUGUAAUUUAAUAUUUUGAUAUAAAAAUGUGAUUGUCAAUUUAUGUUCUUUAAAAUAUUUUUAUAUGUUAUUUAAAAUAUAUUAUUAACAUAUUUGGCGCAAAUAUUUUUUGGAUUUACUUUUAAGAAUAUAAGUUUGGACAAAAAAUUAUGAUAUAGUUUAAUAUGUUUUUAAAAUAUAUGGACAAUUUAAAUUAACUGAGAUUAUAUUAUAUAAUUUUAAUAUAUGUUUUAUGGGUAUUAUUUUUUUCUUAUAUAUAUAUAUCUUUUUAUAAUUUAACAUGUGAAUAUAAUAGGGAGGUCGAAAAAUAAGGGAGAAAAUCUUGUUUGGCAAAAAAAUCAACUUUCAAAUAAGAGAAUGUCGUAAAAAAAUAAAUUGUAGUUAUUGAUUAUUUGGUGUGCAAGUCAAGUUAGUCUAGAUUUCAUCAAAUCUUUCUUAAUAAUAUAUUUCUCAGAAAUUUUCAUGUUUACUGUUUUGUUGAUACUAUUAUUGAUGUUUAUCACCAUUAAAGAGACAUUUUCAAAAAUAUAUUCUUCAUAAAAAAUAAAAAGACUCUUACACCCUUGAAAAUCGAAAUUUUUUUUUGAAAUUAUUUUUAAAAAAUUUAUAUAAUUUUAAGUUUGUAUUUAUAUAUUUAUUGGAAUCAUAAAUUUCACAUUCCAGAAACCAUACCACACCUUUCAAUUUUAAAACAUAAGUCUAGAUUAGUUAAUCCUAUGGUUAUAAAUGUUUUUUUCUCUCUUUAAAAAUGAGAGUAAAAGUGAUUACUGUAAACAUGAAAAAUAGUAUUAUGAAUGUGAUAUUUUUGACAAUUUCUCUAUCUUUCUAAUUUUCUUGUAGAUAAGGAUUGUUUAUGAAAUUAGUAAAUAAAAAAUAAUGUAAUUUCUAACUUCUACUGUAUUUCAAAAAAACAAUUUUGCAUAAGUUAUAUUUUAUAUGAUUGAAGUUUAUAUAUGAUUGAAGUUUAUAUAAUAACAUAUUAUGUUCAUAAUGGUAGGUAUCUCUAAGUUUAACAAAGAAUCAAUCAACUUAGAGCAUAUUAACAUAUGUCACGAAAAUGAGGUGUAAAAAGAGUUAUUAUAUCUAAUCUUUCUAUUAACAUAAGAAACCAAACAUAUACAUGUUCUUUGUGUGAUGAUAUGAUGUCGAUGAGAAAAUCAUAAAGCAAGUUUCAUCUUUAGAAAAAGUUAGUCCAAGUGAGAGUUAUUGUAUUGCUAAUAUAAUUGUAUAUACAAUCGGUCCACUUUAAUUUUAAUUAGAAGAUAAUUCGUUUGGUUUACUUAUAAUAGGUUAAGAUUGUUGGUUUAAUUUAAGUUGUCUGGUUUUAAUGUAACUAACUUGAUAUGAUCCAUAAAUUAACAUACUAACAAAUUUGAAAUAGUCCAAAAUUUAAAUGACAACUUUAAUGAUAGAUAAAUUUAGGACUCUAUUUUAAUAGAGUAGAUUUUGUAAGGAUCUUUUACAAAUACAUACACAAUGAAAACAUAACAAAUAACAUAGGUUAUAUAAUAAAAAAACAAAAGAACUAAAAAAGAGUAAGAUAUUUGAGAAGUUUUGCGAUCUUUACAUCUUUGUCGCAUUAGAAACAUCAAUUAAUUAUCUUUGUUGUGUUAUAUUGGUCUUAAUCCAAUUUAGAUCUAUAUAUAUUUUUCGGUUUAGAAUCCAAUAUAUUGAUUCAACCGUAAGAAAAAAAAUUGAAAAGACCAAUUUUCAACGAUUGUAUGUAUAUUGCCAUACAACAAAAAGAUUCUUCCUUCAGUCUUUAGAUCCUCUUUUGUAUCUCGAAUCCAUGGCGGUUUUCUUGGAGGACAUUUUCUCCAUAACAAAUGACUUGAUUCGAAAAUCAACACAAUUUGGUUAAUUGUUUUUUCAUCAAUCAUAGCUGUAAAAUCCAUGUCGGAAACUGCAACGUCGUAUUGAAAGAAAGAGAGAUUAACCUUCAAUCCGCUGUAGAUGAAUUUCUUCUCAAGUAAAGGGAAGAAUAAGAGAUUAACCUUCGAUCACUUAGGCCUAAUAAACAACAAUCAUUAAUACAAAUAAAACUCAAUUCAAUAAGAAUUUGUGAUAAAUAUAAGCAAUUAGUGCCAUAUAUCUCAGAUUCCUGACUACACUAUAAUAGUAACAAUGAAAUUGUCUAGACAAAACAAAACCAAAGAAUGGCAAUGCAAGAAGAAACUUUCGUAAUUGAUCCAAACAGAAACAAACAGUUGGUUUACAAGUAGUAGCAAUUCUAAACAAGAUCACUAUUACAUUAACCUAUUUAACUAUCAUAUAUAUAACACUAGGAUCGGCCAGCGGAAGUUAUUAUAAAAUAUUUUACAUGAAUUUAUAUUAACUUAUGAAACAUUUAAAAUUAUUAUGUAUUGAAAAUAAUAUUAUAAACAAAAAAAUAAUGGAAAUAAUUCUGAGAUCAUAUUGUUAUUGUUAAUAAAUAUUUUUGAUUUGAAUUAAAAUGACAACAACUUUCAUUAUUCUCUAUCGUUAAAUAAUACAAUAUUAACAAAAAUAAUUAAGAAAAUGUAAUAAUAGAAAUAUUCUUAUUAUUUCUAUUUCAAUUUGACAUAGUAAAAAUAUAAAGUUUAUACAAAUAAUACUAUAUUUAUUUUAAGAAGCUUCAAAUUUUUAAAAACAUUAACAUAAUUUUUUUUUGCUUCAAGAUUUGGUAGUGCGACCCAUAUACCUCCCUCGGUGCUUAGCCGUGGCAUCGGAUGGCAAGGCGUAGGCGUUUUGCUGAAUGGAUUGUUUGGAACUGCAACCGGUUCAACAGCUUUGGUGUAAUGAAAUCAAAUCUCUUUAAUAUAGAACGUUCUCAGGUGCCGGAUCUUAAACUUUGUUGUUUUUUGUUUGUUCUUGUAGUGAAAAUACAGGGCUGCUUGGACUAACAAAGGUUGGGAGCAGAAGAGUGGUUCAGAUAUCUGCUGGUUUCAUGAUCUUCUUCUCCAUUUUUGGUAAUACUCCAAUCAUGUGAAAUUACUUGGAAACAAUUUUAAUUGCUAGGCAGUAAUUAUAUACUUUUUAUAGGAGAUUAAUGAUUAGGCGGAUGCGAUUUCAGAAAAAAAAAUCGGUUAAGAAAAAUCGGUUAAGAAAAAUCGUUUUCUUUAGAUACGAUUCGCACCCUACACCGAUUUUUAGAACAUUACUCUUAACCAUUACUAACCUUGUGAAAAAAAUACAGGCAAGUUUGGGGCUGUUCUUGCGUCGAUACCAUUACCGAUAUUUGCAGCAUUGUACUGUGUUCUAUUCGCCUAUGUUGGUAUGUAUAUCUCAAGAACUAGACUCUUUCUACUCAUUUUAGCUUUUUCUAUAAAUGUGAUUGAGAUCAGGCAGAGGACCUUGUGAACAGCUUCUGCAGGACUUGGCCUGCUUCAGUUCUGCAACUUAAACAGCUUCAGGACUAAAUUCAUCCUCGGCUUCUCCAUCUUCAUCGGUCUAUCUGUCGCACAAUACUUCACAGAGUAUCUAUUUAUCUCUGGUCGUGGACCCGUUCACACUCGCACUUCUGCUGUAAGUGUAUUACAUCAUCACUUUAUGUUUGUUUGUCUUGUGUGUACUGAUUCGUUUGUCAUGGACGCAGUUCAAUGUGAUAAUGCAAGUGAUAUUCUCUUCGGCUGCAACCGUUGGGAUAAUGGCAGCCUUCUUGUUGGACUGUACUCAUAGCUACGGACACCCCUCGGUGAGGAGAGACAGUGGAAGACAUUGGUGGGAGAAGUUCAGAGUCUACUACACUGACACUCGAACUGGAGAGUUCUACGCAUUGCCUUAUAACCUCAAUCGAUUCUUCCCUUCUUUCUAAAAAUCUGAGACUCAGUUUCUUCAGCAUCUAGAGAUAUAUAUAUGUACCACAAAAGCAAGAUUCCAACUAGAAAAUUAUGUUUCUAAAUAAUCUUGUUUUUCUUGUUACCAACACUUUCGCAUGAGUUUGCUUAGAGAUUGUAACAGCUACAUAUUCCAGAGUGACUAGGCAAAUUGAGAUUCAAACUCUUUUCUUUUCUGGUGAGUAAACUGAUCAUCUUAGUCCGGCUGGAGAUGUUGGACUGCCUCCUCCAGGUCUUCCCAUGGCUCUCUGGGCCAGAGAUCCAUCGUAAUCCUAAACAAACGUAUUUUUCGAUUUUAACAUGAAAGCCAACAUAAAGACAACUUGGUUUAGGUUGAUACAAAGUAUAAUUUGAAACAUACUCGCUUCUCGAAGGAACUAUCCUGCGAGUCAGCUAUCUUGUCUGCGAUACCAUAGUCAAUGGCUGCUUGUGCUUGGAGAUAUUUAGGUCGCUUGAUGUCCUCGUUGAUCUGCUCUUUGGUUUUACCUGUUCCCUUAGCUAACAGCUCAAUGUAAUACUCAGUAUUUGCAUCGAGCUCCUUGGCCUGUCAGAGGAGGAAUAUUCAUUAACAGUACA
This 7383-nucleotide long non-coding RNA is filed under the name Brassica napus (rape). RNAcentral describes it as "long non-coding RNA (BNAP_LNC014565)". The record is from RNAcentral. Lineage: Eukaryota; Viridiplantae; Streptophyta; Magnoliopsida; Brassicales; Brassicaceae.